Molecule: ribosomal RNA, 253 nt
Filed under: uncultured bacterium
Lineage: Bacteria
Description: partial 16S ribosomal RNA
Rfam family: Bacterial small subunit ribosomal RNA
Source: RNAcentral
UACGGGGGGGGCAAGCGUUGUUCGGAAUCACUGGGCUUAAAGGGCGCGUAGGCGGCCUGCCAAGUCAGGGGUGAAAGCCCCCAGCUCAACUGGGGAAGUGCCUUUGAUACUGGCGGGCUCGAGCGAGGCAGGGGUCGUGGGAACUUCCGGUGGAGCGGUGAAAUGCGUUGAUAUCGGAAGGAACGCCGGUGGCGAAAGCGCACGACUGGUCCUCUUCUGACGCUGAGGCGCGAAAGCCAGGGGAGCAAACGGG